GACGAACGCUGGCGGCGUGCUUAACACAUGCAAGUCGAACGGAAAGGCCCUGCUUUUGUGGGGUGCUCGAGUGGCGAAAGGGUGAGUAACACGUGAGUAACCUGCCCUUGACUUUGGGAUAACUUCAGGAAACUGGGGCUAAUACCGGAUAGGAGCUCCUGCUGCAUGGUGGGGGUUGGAAAGUUUCGGCGGUUGGGGAUGGACUCGCGGCUUAUCAGCUUGUUGGUGGGGUAGUGGCUUACCAAGGCUUUGACGGGUAGCCGGCCUGAGAGGGUGACCGGCCACAUUGGGACUGAGAUACGGCCCAGACUCCUACGGGAGGCAGCAGUGGGGAAUAUUGCACAAUGGGCGGAAGCCUGAUGCAGCAACGCCGCGUGCGGGAUGACGGCCUUCGGGUUGUAAACCGCUUUCGCCUGUGACGAAGCGGGAGUGACGGUAAUGGGUAAAGAAGCACCGGCUAACUACGUG
This 468-nucleotide ribosomal RNA is filed under the name uncultured bacterium. Its description in RNAcentral is "partial 16S ribosomal RNA". It matches the Rfam family "Bacterial small subunit ribosomal RNA", at positions 28 to 507 of the family's 1533-position model. The record is from RNAcentral.